UUGGAAGGGCGGAGAAUCGCUCCCGGCGCGAGCCGGGGGAGGAAAGUCCGAACUCCACAGGGCGCGAUGCCGCGUAACUUGGCUUGCGUAUUCGGCCAAGAUACACGCGGGCGGAAAGCCGAUAUGCUUUCCGACGGACAGUGCCACAGAGAACAUACCGCCGCUCUGGGAUUUCAAAUUUCAGAUUUGAGAUUUCAAAGCGGUAAGGGUGAAAAGGUGGUGUAAGAGACCACCGCCGGACGAGUGAUCGCACGGGCACGGAAAACCCCAUCGGGAGCAAGGCCAAAUAGGGGACCCUGAAGCGGCCCGCUUCAUGGCGCGAAAGCGCCGGGUUCCGGGUACUGGCUGCAUAGACAAAUGAUUCUCUCCGUGCCGCAAGGCGCGCAGACAGAAUUCGGCUUACAGCCCUUCCAAAACC
Molecule: RNase P RNA, 418 nt
Filed under: Verrucomicrobiota bacterium
Lineage: Bacteria; Pseudomonadati; Verrucomicrobiota
Description: Verrucomicrobia bacterium (groundwater metagenome) RNase P RNA component class A
Rfam family: Bacterial RNase P class A
About the family: Ribonuclease P (RNase P) is a ubiquitous endoribonuclease, found in archaea, bacteria and eukarya as well as chloroplasts and mitochondria. Its best characterised activity is the generation of mature 5'-ends of tRNAs by cleaving the 5'-leader elements of precursor-tRNAs.
Source: RNAcentral